GUUUAUGGCCAUGCUACCCUGAACUAGCUGAUCCCAUCUGAUCUCAGAAGCUAAGCAGGGUUGGGCCUAGUUAGUACUUGGAUGGGAGAUCACCUAGGAAGACCAGGUACUGUAGGUG
RNAcentral lists this ribosomal RNA (118 nucleotides) under Pteropus alecto (black flying fox). The record is from RNAcentral. Lineage: Eukaryota; Metazoa; Chordata; Mammalia; Chiroptera; Pteropodidae.